GGGGGCGUGCCUGGUCUGGAGCCAGCCUGGUGUGAUUGACUGACAACUCGUAUGCACGAGAGCCAGGAGGAACAUUCAUAGGCUAACAUUGUCCUGAGUCAGCAAUGUUGUAUUUACUUUUAUUUUGUCUUUAUUUGUCGGUGGAGUAAGCAUUUCCCACAGACUGUUAUUAUAUUCGUUGGCUUUUUUUUAGUACGUUUUCACAUUUCACCGUAAGAAUGCCUUGUUCUUCGGUUAGUUGUGCUGACAGACUCUCCAAGGAUUCGCGUAUCCAGUUUUUUCGGUAUUUACAGAAUGAAAACUGAAGGACAGGUGCCAUCCAUCUGGUUGUGGAGAAGGGAAACUGCAUGGACAACAUCUUGAGUUCUCACAUUGGUUGUGAAGAUGAUGCCAGAAAACCACUUCCAGUCUAGCUUCCUCUGAUGGAGGGACAGUCCAACCUUUUAGACAUUUGUUUAUUAUUCACAGUUAAUGCAACUGAAAAAUUUGUUUAAUGUGCCUUUGCAGUCCCUGAACAUAGUUUGCUGUUUGAAGUUUAAAUAAACCUGUGAUUUAGCGGCACUGUGUGCAUUUUCCAUUA
Molecule: long non-coding RNA, 580 nt
Organism: Xiphias gladius (swordfish)
Lineage: Eukaryota; Metazoa; Chordata; Actinopteri; Istiophoriformes; Xiphiidae
Exons: 2
Source: RefSeq, a predicted model, not a curated record